GCAAGUCGAACGCGCAGCGAGAGGUGCUUGCACCUUUCAAGUGAGUGGCGAACGGGUGAGUAACACGUGGACAACCUGCCUCAAGGCUGGGGAUAACAUUUGGAAACAGAUGCUACUACCGAAUAAAACUUAGUCUCGCAUGAUAUCAAGUUAAAAGGCGCUACGGCGUCACCUAGAGAUGGAUCCGCGGUGCAUUAGUUAGUUGGUGGGGUAAAGGCUUACCAAGACGAUGAUGCAUACCCGAGUUGAGAGACUGAUCGGCCACAUUGGGACUGACACCCGGCCCAAACUCCUACGGGAGGCUGCAGUAGGGAAUCUUCCACAAUGGGCGCAAGCCUGAUGGACCACCGCCGCGUGUGUGAUGAAGGCUUUCGGGUCGUAAAGCACUGUUGUAUGGGAAGAAAUGCUAAAAUAAGGAAUGAUUUUAGUUUGACGGCACCAUACCAGAAAGGGACGGCUAAAUACGUGCCAGCAGCCGCGGUAAUACGUAUGUCCCGAGCGUUAUCCGGAUUUAUUGGGCGUAAAGCGAGCGCAGACGGUUGAUUAAGUCUGAUGUGAAAGCCCGGAGCUCAACUCCGGAAUGGCAUUGGAAACUGGUUAACUUGAGUGUUGUAGAGGUAAGUGGAACUCCAUGUGUAGCGGUGGAAUGCGUAGAUAUAUGGAAGAACACCAGUGGCGAAAGCGGCUUACUGGACAACAACUGACGUUGAGGCUCGAAAAGUGUGGGUAGCAAACAGGAUUAGAUACCCUGGUAGUCCACACCGUAAACGAUGAAUACUAGGUGUUAGGAGGUUUCCGCCUCUUAGUGCCGAAGCUAACGCAUUAAGUAUUCCGCCUGGGGAGUACGACCGCAAGGUUGAAACUCAAAGGAAUUGACGGGGACCCGCACAAGCGGUGGAGCAUGUGGUUUAAUUCGAAGCAACGCGAAGAACCUUACCAGGUCUUGACAUCCUUUGAAGCUUUUAGAGAUAGAAGUGUUCUCUUCGG
This 987-nucleotide ribosomal RNA is filed under the name Leuconostoc citreum. Its description in RNAcentral is "bacterial SSU rRNA". It matches the Rfam family "Bacterial small subunit ribosomal RNA", at positions 57 to 1024 of the family's 1533-position model. The record is from RNAcentral. Lineage: Bacteria; Bacillati; Bacillota; Bacilli; Lactobacillales; Lactobacillaceae.